RNAcentral lists this ribosomal RNA (446 nucleotides) under uncultured bacterium. RNAcentral describes it as "bacterial SSU rRNA". It matches the Rfam family "Bacterial small subunit ribosomal RNA", at positions 45 to 524 of the family's 1533-position model. The record is from RNAcentral.
GGCCUAACACAUGCAAGUCGAACGCACCCUUCGGGGUGAGUGGCAGACGGGUGAGUAACGCGUGGGAACGUGCCCUUUGGUUCGGAAUAACCCAGGGAAACUUGGGCUAAUACCGGAUAAGCCCGUGGCUUUGGCCAUGGNGGAAAGAUUUAUUGCCGAAGGAUCGGCCCGCGUCUGAUUAGCUAGUUGGUGGGGUAACGGCCCACCAAGGCGACGAUCAGUAGCUGGUCUGAGAGGAUGAUCAGCCACACUGGGACUGAGACACGGCCCAGACUCCUACGGGAGGCAGCAGUGGGGAAUAUUGGACAAUGGGGGCAACCCUGAUCCAGCCAUGCCGCGUGAGUGACUUGAAGGCCUUAGGGUCGUAAAGCUCUUUCGGCGGGGAAGAUAAUGACGGUACCCGCAGAAGAAGCCCCGGCUAACUUCGUGCCAGCAGCCGCGGUAAU